AAAAACAAAGACCACACAGACCAAGAGGAAAAACAAAGACCAAACAGACCAAGAGGAAAAACAAAGACCAAACAGACCAAGAGGAGAAACAAAGACCACACAGACCAAGAGGAAAAACGAAGACCAAACCGACCAAGAGGAGAAAUGAAGACCACACAGGUGCACAGGUGCUCCAGAGAUCUGAAUGUCAAUCACGAGCUUAAAGUAACUGUGACGAAUUUUUUUAAGACAAUGGGGGAAAGAUGGAGGAUUUCAGUGGCAGAAUCCUAUAAAAGAAUUCAACAUGAGUUUAUGAAUGAAGAACAUAAUAACUGCAUUGAGAAAUUGGUAGUUUAAUACCUUAUUCGACAAAGACAAAGAGGAGUUUAGAGAAUGAAGGGAGGUGAAGAAAUCAAAAUGGAGCCACAGAAAAAAGACAAAAAUAGACAAACAAACAUGCAGGACUCAUUAGAAAAUAUAGGUUUAUCCUACAAGGAGAGAUGAGUGAGUCGAGGUAGUGAAGUGUGUCAGAACUUUAACUGAUGAAAGCUAUUAACCACAGAUUAAAAACACACUGAGAAUCCUAAGCAGGGCAGGGCACAUACAACCACCCCUGGCCCUGCUGGUGCUGAAAUAUCAAGACAGAAAAAUUUAAGAGGUCAGGGAGAAGGAGAGACAAAGUAACUUCACAGAAGUAACAAGGAGACCGACAGAUGACUUCUGGUGGGCAUGAUGGAGUCCAGGAGACACUGGAACUGUGCCUCUGUCACCUGAAGUCGGCCACAAGCUCGAGGUCUACACCUGCUGACAAGGUCCGCACAGAUGAGGACAGCCCCAGGUGGUGGACGCCCAGAGCAUAUGCCGACAGCAGCAUCAAAGCUGGAGAAAAGACGUGAAGAAGUUUUAAGGUAGAAAGAAAAUGACGAAAAGCAAGGAAAUUGGUAGAGAAGAGGGACCACAGAGGACAGGCACGUGUGGGUGAGUACAAAUAACGUGACGCUGUGAAUGUCUUACGAGUCUGUCAACAUUUACAGAAAGGAAGUUCUCAGGAACAGGUCACAGAGUCAGAGGAGACUCCAUGGGUUACAGGUUCUCGGUGCACCUGGAGCUGGUUCAUAAGAUCAGAUCCUAGAGCUCCAACGUCACAGAUUCCUGGUUAACUACACAGACGACAGAAGAAAAUAUGACCAAGCGGCAAGUGGUUGAACAUGGUGGCCACUGGGGUCGGACGCACGGUCACUAGGUGACCCAGGUGUGCAGAGCUGGCCGCUGAGUUCACACGCACGGUCACUAGGUGACCUAGGUGUGCAGAGCUGGCCGCUGGGGUCAAACGCAACAGUCUCUAGGUGACCCAUGUGUGCUGAGCUGGCUGCUGGGGUCAGAUGCACAGUCACUAGGUGACCCAUGUGUGCUGAGCUGGCUGCUGGGGUCAGAUGCACAGUCACUAGGUGACCCAUGUGGGCUGAGCUGGCUGCUGGGGUCAGAUGCACAGUCACUAGGUGACCCAUGUGUGCAGAGCUGGCUGCUGGGGUCAGAUGCACAGUCACUAGGUGACCCAUGUGUGCUGAGCUGGCCGCUGGGGUCAGAUGCACAGUCACUAGGUGACCCAUGUGUGCAGAGCUGGCCCCUGGGGUCAGUUCUGCACCUCAGUGAUUGCUCCUGUGUGCAGCCAUUUUCACCUCUUUGGACGCCAUCUGUGCUCUUCUUUCCUGGGGUCUUUUCAGGUCGUUUGCCAUCUGGCCUCUGUCUCAGCUGUGACCAAAAUAGCUGAACAACUUGGAGGAGGAAAAGUUUGCUGGGGCUCAUGGAUUCAGAGGUCUCCACUGCUCUGGACCCAAGAUACGAUGACCGCAGACAUUUAUGCACCCAACGUGAAGGCCCCAGGAGACAGAGAGCAGAAAGGGCAGUUGUGAUUCCACAAAACCUGGGACUUCCGCGGCCAUCUCCACCAACAAGAAGGGGCGGUCACCGAACAAGGGCAGGGGAGAGCAUUGAGAAACAGGGAACUGGGGGACCCAGAGCCCCCGGCAGGCUCUCCGUCCAGCAGCAGCACGCAGACCUCUGCCACGCGGUCCUUCAUAAAGGAGGUUCCGUGCAUAGAAACCGCUAGUGAGUUAGAUCAGAGAGACAGACUCUCCUCACCUUCUCCCAGCCCCAGACGCUCCUCCUAGUCCUGCCUCCAGCGAGGUCACGGGAGGCCAGCGAGA
Non-coding RNA from Ictidomys tridecemlineatus (thirteen-lined ground squirrel), 2186 nucleotides. The record is from RefSeq and is a predicted model, not a curated record. Lineage: Eukaryota; Metazoa; Chordata; Mammalia; Rodentia; Sciuridae.